Molecule: ribosomal RNA, 312 nt
Filed under: Bymainiella terraereginae
Lineage: Eukaryota; Metazoa; Arthropoda; Arachnida; Araneae; Hexathelidae
Description: partial 12S ribosomal RNA
Source: RNAcentral
AGGUAAUAUUUAUUUAAAAACCUUUAUCUUUUGGCAGCUUGAUUCCUUUCCAGAGGAACUUGUGAAUUAAUCGAUAAUACGCGUUUAUUUUCUCUUACUUUAAGUUUCUAUACCGCCGUCUUAAGAAUAAAUUUUCAAUUUAUCUUCUUAUCAGAAUUAUCUUUUAAGUCAGGUCAAGGUUGAGCAUAUAACUAAGAUUUCAUGAGUUAUUAAUUAAAUUUAUUAAUGGAUUUCUUUCCAAAGCAAGAAUGAAUCAGAAUCUGAAAGUAUAUUUUUAUUAAAACUUCGUAUCGAACUAGUUAAAUUAAGUGU